This 61-nucleotide transfer RNA is filed under the name Dipodomys ordii (Ord's kangaroo rat). Lineage: Eukaryota; Metazoa; Chordata; Mammalia; Rodentia; Heteromyidae. The record is from Rfam by way of RNAcentral.
GGCGCUGUGGCUCAAGUGGUAGAGCGUUAGCCUUGAGCUGAAUAGCUAAGGGACAGCGCCU